Molecule: small RNA, 1074 nt
Filed under: uncultured Pelagibacterales bacterium
Lineage: Bacteria; Pseudomonadati; Pseudomonadota; Alphaproteobacteria; Candidatus Pelagibacterales
Description: bacterial SSU rRNA
Rfam family: Bacterial small subunit ribosomal RNA (bases 1-658)
Source: RNAcentral
CCCCGCCUGGGGAGUACGACCGCUUGGUUAAAACCCAAAUGAAUUGACGGGGACCCGCACCAUUAGUGGAGCGUGUGGUUUAAUUCAAAGAUACGCGCAGAACCUUACCAACACUUGACAUGUUCGUCGCGACUUUAAGAGAUUAAAGUUUUCGGUUCGGCCGGACGAAACACAGGUGCUGCAUGGCUGUCGUCAGCUCGUGUCGUGAGAUGUUGGGUUAAGUCCCGCAACGAGCGCAACCCUCACUUUUAGUUGCCAUCAUUUAGUUGGGCACUCUGAAAGAACUGCCAGUGAUAAGCUGGAGGAAGGUGGGGAUGACGUCAAGUCCUCAUGGCCCUUACGUGUUGGGCUACACACGUGCUACAAUGGCAUUUACAACAGGAAGCAAAACGGCGACGUUAAGCAAAUCCUAAAAAAAUGCCUCAGUUCGGAUUGUACUCUGCAACUCGAGUACAUGAAGCUGGAAUUACUAGUAAUCGCGGAUCAGCGCGCCGCGGUGAAUACGUUCCCGGGUCUUGUACACACCGCCCGUCACACCAUGGGAGUUGGUUCUACCUUAAGGCAAAGGUUAAAAACUUUGACCACGGUAUAGUCAGCGACUGGGGUGAAGUCGUAACAAGGUAGCCGUAGGGGAACCUGCGGCUGGAUUACCUCCUUUCUAAGGAUGAUUAAAAAAAAUUUUUUUAAUCUAAAUAAUUAACAGGUUAAUGUUGACCGUCCUCAUUUCUCUUUUCAAUAAUGUUACUCUUGGUCUCUAAAUACGGGCCGGUAGCUCAGUUGGUUAGAGCACACCCUUGAUAAGGGUGGGGUCGAAAGUUCGAGUCUUUCUCGGCCCACCAUAUAAAUUUUCUUGGGGGGAUUAGCUCAGCUGGGAGAGCGCCUGAUUUGCAUUCAGGAGGUCAGCGGUUCGAUCCCGCUAUCCUCCACCAUAAGUAACUUAGCUAUUAAAUUUGUAAAUAAAAAAUUAAAUUAUCAAUAUCUAUAUCCGAUUGUUCGAAUUUAUGAACAAUCAAUUAAUAUUCGAAUAGAUGAAUAUUCAAUAAAAAAUUUGAUUCAACACAGAAUUUUUUUCUG